AGUACUGGAUACCAGAAGGUCUACUACCCUAACUUGUGUCAAGUCACUGCCAACGAUACCGUCUCUCCACAGACACAGGCAAACAAGUUGAUAUCGACUCUGUUUGCUCAGGCCAAUGUACGCAUGACUGUGGUGGGUCAUAACUAUGGCAACGACUGGUGCUGUCCCGUCCUAGGCUCAGAUCACAUGAUCUGCUACGCCAGACACACUGGCUAUGGGGGCUAUGGAACGUGGAUGAGGGGAUCACGUGUGUUGGUACUCACGGAGCAGGGACAGUACAGCACUUACGUCAGGAUGGAAGAUGGCAGGGUCAUCUGAUCCAUAAUUAUGGACUAAUACAUGACUGUUAGUAUUUAUAGCUACACUGAUCAAUUCUCUGGAUGAAGUUCAUAAUUUGCA
This is a long non-coding RNA of Halichondria panicea, 399 nucleotides long. RefSeq lists it as uncharacterized. The record is from RefSeq and is a predicted model, not a curated record. The transcript has 3 exons. NCBI's taxonomy places the organism in Eukaryota, Metazoa, Porifera, Demospongiae, Suberitida, Halichondriidae.